UUGAAUGGGCCUAAUCAUACAUUGUUGCGUAACCUUAUCAAGGAUGCACAAUACUAGAAUGGCAGACAUGCACGUCUAGCUCAGUUUGUUGCUCACUCACUUGAAGAUAUACUCGAGCUGUUGAAGGAGGCUUAUGAUGUUAUGUUUCCUUACAACACUCCAUUGGUUGUAUUUCAUUUUAUCUUUGUCUGUAGAGUUGUAUUUGAGAGGUUUCAGGUUGAUCAUGUUGUAGAUCAUUUAGCAGACUGUUGAGUUGUAUUUGUAUUAUUUA
RNAcentral lists this long non-coding RNA (271 nucleotides) under Lathyrus oleraceus (garden pea). RNAcentral's name for it is "Pisum sativum (pea) long non-coding RNA (PSAT_LNC039777)". The record is from RNAcentral. Lineage: Eukaryota; Viridiplantae; Streptophyta; Magnoliopsida; Fabales; Fabaceae.